AUGGCUGGAUUCGCUGAUGCACUGAGGCCGGAUAAGUUUACCGGUGUGCACUUUAAGAGGUGGCAGGUGAAGACCACGCUCUGGCUUACUGCUCUGAAAGUUUUCCACGCUAGUGUUGGUGCUCCAGAGGGAAUGACCGACGAAGAUCGGAGAAAAUUCCAGGAAGCCAAUACUAUGUUUGUGGGAUGCAUUCUGAGUGUUCUUGCUGACCGUCUGUGUGAUGUGUACAUGCACAUAAACGACAGAAAAAUUCUAUGGGAUGCACUGAAUGCAAAAUUCGGUGCAACAGAUGCAUGCAGUGAACUGUACAUCAUGGAGAGUUUUCAUGACUACAAGAUGGUGAAUAACCGUUCUGUGGUUGAACAAGCUCAUGGCUGGGUGCAUGAUUGCAAAGUUGCCUCCUUCAUGAAGGAAUUUCGCCACAACUCUGAAGCAUAA
RNAcentral lists this ribosomal RNA (438 nucleotides) under Triticum aestivum (bread wheat). RNAcentral's name for it is "partial small subunit ribosomal RNA". The record is from RNAcentral. Lineage: Eukaryota; Viridiplantae; Streptophyta; Magnoliopsida; Poales; Poaceae.